UACAGAGGGUGCGAGCGUUGUCCGGAAUUACUGGGCGUAUAGGGCGCGUAGGCGGCCUGAUAAGUAGGGGGUGAAAUCUCACGGCUCAACCGGGAGGCUGCCUUCUAAACUGUCAGGCUUGAGCACGGUAGAGGCAGAUGGAAUUCCCGGUGUAGCGGUGGAAUGCGUAGAGAUCGGGAAGAACACCAGUGGCGAAGGCGGUGUGCUGGGCCGUUGCUGACACUGAGGCGCGACAGCGUGGGGAGCAAACAGG
RNAcentral lists this ribosomal RNA (253 nucleotides) under uncultured bacterium. RNAcentral describes it as "partial 16S ribosomal RNA". It matches the Rfam family "Bacterial small subunit ribosomal RNA", at positions 524 to 776 of the family's 1533-position model. The record is from RNAcentral.